GCCGUUUGUUAAUUCAUUAUUCUAGAAAAAUCAGUAAAAGUUCCACCAAGGGCAGAAAAAGGUUGAUCCUUAAGCUACUAGGCAAUCUGGAUACAUGACUUACAAGGAGCACAAUAGAUCAAGGGAAACGGAUAGCGUGUUCAAAUGCUGCCUCACAUAUAUCAGAUCAAACAACUGUAUCGGGAUAUGGAGUGAGGUUGGUGAACUCGUGUCAAUAUUGAUAAUAGGAUCAAUCUAGGUGGGAACUCAGCUAAAAGAAAGAGCUCCCCUUGGCUGAAAAUCACAUAAAUAAUGGAGUGCCAACAAGGAAAAAGUAGCCUGUAAGAAUGGUUCCCUCUUUGUUUCUUGAACAAGAACUACAAUUCAGCUUUGGUGGACUGCGUCUCAUCUCUGCCCAUUGAGAAGAGCCAACGAAACAGUUGUGAUAACUUGCUAGUUUCAAGCUUCUGCUCUGGUUGCUCCAGCCUUUUAGCGCAGAGUGUAUUAUAGUCGUGCUUUAAAUGGGGAGCAACUAUCAUUUCCUUAAACUCUUC
RNAcentral lists this unclassified non-coding RNA (533 nucleotides) under Hevea brasiliensis (rubber tree). The record is from RNAcentral. Lineage: Eukaryota; Viridiplantae; Streptophyta; Magnoliopsida; Malpighiales; Euphorbiaceae.